UGAGAGAACUUGAGGGCAGAUUUAAAAU
RNAcentral lists this non-coding RNA (28 nucleotides) under Cricetulus griseus (Chinese hamster). The record is from RNAcentral. Lineage: Eukaryota; Metazoa; Chordata; Mammalia; Rodentia; Cricetidae.